Molecule: ribosomal RNA, 258 nt
Filed under: uncultured bacterium
Lineage: Bacteria
Description: partial 16S ribosomal RNA
Rfam family: Bacterial small subunit ribosomal RNA
Source: RNAcentral
CGGCGGACGGGUGAGUAACGCGUGGGUAACCUGCCUCAUACAGGGGGAUAACAGUUAGGAAUGACUGCUAAUACCGCAUAAGCGCACGGGACUGCAUGGUCCAGUGUGAAAAACCGAGGUGGUAUGAGAUGGACCCGCGUCUGAUUAGCUGGUUGGCGGGGUAACGGCCCACCAAGGCGACGAUCAGUAGCCGACCUGAGAGGGUGGCCGGCCACAUUGGGACUGAGACACGGCCCAAACUCCUACGGAAGGCAGCAG